UGGGGAAUAUUGCACAAUGGGCGCAAGCCUGAUGCAGCCAUGCCGCGUGUAUGAAGAAGGCCUUCGGGUUGUAAAGUACUUUCAGCGGGGAGGAAGGUGUUGAGGCUAAUAACCUCAGCAAUUGACGUUACCCGCAGAAGAAGCACCGGCUAACUCAGUGCCAGCAGCCGCGGUAAUACGGAGGGUGCAAGCGUUAAUCGGAAUUACUGGGCGUAAAGCGCACGCAGGCGGUCUGUCAAGUCGGAUGUGAAAUCCCCGGGCUCAACCUGGGAACUGCAUUCGAAACUGGCAGGCUAGAGUCUUGUAGAGGGGGGUAGAAUUCCAGGUGUAGCGGUGAAAUGCGUAGAGAUCUGGAGGAAUACCGGUGGCGAAGGCGGCCCCCUGGACAAAGACUGACGCUCAGGUGCGAAAGCGUGGGGAGCAAACA
RNAcentral lists this ribosomal RNA (427 nucleotides) under uncultured bacterium. RNAcentral's name for it is "partial 16S ribosomal RNA". It matches the Rfam family "Bacterial small subunit ribosomal RNA", at positions 355 to 774 of the family's 1533-position model. The record is from RNAcentral.